Molecule: ribosomal RNA, 253 nt
Filed under: uncultured bacterium
Lineage: Bacteria
Description: partial 16S ribosomal RNA
Rfam family: Bacterial small subunit ribosomal RNA
Source: RNAcentral
UACAGAGGGGGCAAGCGUUGUUCGGAAUUACUGGGCGUAAAGGGCGCGUAGGCGGCCUGUUAAGUCGAACGUGAAAUCCCCGGGCUCAACCCGGGAACUGCGUCCGAGACUGGAAGGCUCGAAUCCGGGAGAGGGAUGUGGAAUUCCAGGUGUAGCGGUGAAAUGCGUAGAUAUCUGGAGGAACAUCGGUGGCGAAGGCGGCAUCCUGGACCGGUAUUGACGCUGAGGCGCGAAAGCCAGGGGAGCAAACGGG